Molecule: ribosomal RNA, 721 nt
Filed under: uncultured Bacillus sp.
Lineage: Bacteria; Bacillati; Bacillota; Bacilli; Caryophanales; Bacillaceae
Description: bacterial SSU rRNA
Rfam family: Bacterial small subunit ribosomal RNA
Source: RNAcentral
GCCGCGUGAGUGAUGAAGGUUUUCGGAUCGUAAAACUCUGUUGUUAGGGAAGAACAAGUACCGGAGUAACUGCCGGUACCUUGACGGUACCUAACCAGAAAGCCACGGCUAACUACGUGCCAGCAGCCGCGGUAAUACGUAGGUGGCAAGCGUUGUCCGGAAUUAUUGGGCGUAAAGCGCGCGCAGGCGGUCUUUUAAGUCUGAUGUGAAAGCCCCCGGCUCAACCGGGGAGGGUCAUUGGAAACUGGGAGACUUGAGUGCAGAAGAGAAGAGUGGAAUUCCACGUGUAGCGGUGAAAUGCGUAGAGAUGUGGAGGAACACCAGUGGCGAAGGCGACUCUUUGGUCUGUAACUGACGCUGAGGCGCGAAAGCGUGGGGAGCGAACAGGAUUAGAUACCCUGGUAGUCCACGCCGUAAACGAUGAGUGCUAAGUGUUAGAGGGUUUCCGCCCUUUAGUGCUGCAGCAAACGCAUUAAGCACUCCGCCUGGGGAGUACGGCCGCAAGGCUGAAACUCAAAGGAAUUGACGGGGGCCCGCACAAGCGGUGGAGCAUGUGGUUUAAUUCGAAGCAACGCGAAGAACCUUACCAGGUCUUGACAUCCUCUGACCUUCCUAGAGAUAGGACUUUCCCCUUCGGGGGACAGAGUGACAGGUGGUGCAUGGUUGUCGUCAGCUCGUGUCGUAAGAUGUUGGGUUAAGUCCCGCAACGAGCGCAACCCUU